AUUGAACGCUGGCGGCAGGCCUAACACAUGCAAGUCGAACGAGUGGCGGACGGGUGAGUAAUGUCUGGGAAACUGCCCGAAGGAGGGGGAUAACUACUGGAAACGGUAGCUAAUACCGCAUACCAUCGGAUGUGCCCAGAUGGGAUUAUCUAGUAGGUGGGGUAACGGCUCACAUAGGCGACGAUCCCUAGCUGGUCAGAGAGGAUGACCAGCCACACUGGAACUGGGACACGGUCCAGACUCCUACGGGGGGCAGCAGUGGGGAAUAUUGCACAAUGGGCGCAAGCCUGAUGCAGCCAUGCGGGGUGUAUGAAGAAGGCCUUCGGGUUGUAAAGUACUUUCAGCGAGGAGGCGUUACUCGCAGAAGAAGCGCCGGCUAACUCCGUGCCAGCCGCCGCGGUAAUUC
RNAcentral lists this ribosomal RNA (406 nucleotides) under uncultured bacterium. RNAcentral's name for it is "partial 16S ribosomal RNA". It matches the Rfam family "Bacterial small subunit ribosomal RNA", at positions 30 to 526 of the family's 1533-position model. The record is from RNAcentral.